This 84-nucleotide microRNA precursor is filed under the name Phlebotomus papatasi. The record is from RNAcentral. Lineage: Eukaryota; Metazoa; Arthropoda; Insecta; Diptera; Psychodidae.
GAUUGAGAAAGAGCCGAUUGAGCGAGAGUCUACUGUAUAGUGAUAUAAAUAUAGUAGACUCUCACUCAAUCGGCUCUUUCUCAA